CAAAAUCUAGAUCGCCAU
Molecule: small nuclear RNA, 18 nt
Filed under: Arabidopsis thaliana (thale cress)
Lineage: Eukaryota; Viridiplantae; Streptophyta; Magnoliopsida; Brassicales; Brassicaceae
Description: snRNA_05880
Source: RNAcentral